RNAcentral lists this ribosomal RNA (253 nucleotides) under uncultured bacterium. RNAcentral's name for it is "partial 16S ribosomal RNA". It matches the Rfam family "Bacterial small subunit ribosomal RNA", at positions 524 to 776 of the family's 1533-position model. The record is from RNAcentral.
UACGUAGGGGGCAAGCGUUGUCCGGAAUCAUUGGGCGUAAAGAGCGUGUAGGCGGCUGGGUAGGUCCGUUGUGAAAACUCGAGGCUCAACCUCGAGACGCCGAUGGAAACCCUCCAGCUAGAGUCCGGAAGAGGAGAGUGGAAUUCCAGGUGUAGCGGUGAAAUGCGUAGAUAUCAAGCGGAACACCAGUGGCGAAGGCGAGUCCCUGGACAACACCUGACACUGAGGCACGAAAGCUAGGGGAGCAAACAGG